Long non-coding RNA from Triticum dicoccoides, 1710 nucleotides. RefSeq lists it as uncharacterized. Lineage: Eukaryota; Viridiplantae; Streptophyta; Magnoliopsida; Poales; Poaceae. The record is from RefSeq and is a predicted model, not a curated record. The transcript has 6 exons.
UGCCGUCCUGUUCUCGCCUUUCCUAGUUCAUUCUAGUGGGCCGUCGCCGCCGUGGUAACCUAUGGUGUGGGGGACAAAAAGGGGAGCGUGUCGCGGAGGUCGGCCUACCGGACUGCGGCGGCGCCGGUGUUUCCACGUCGGGCUAGCGGCGGAUGGACGCCGAGGGUAUGGAGUUCCUGCUUGAUGCGGUGGUCAGAUUCCCCGUACGGGAGGGAUUUGCUGACAGCCUUGACCACCCAGAUCCAGUUCCACUCCAUUAUCUGCUGGAGAAGGGGAGUGCAACCCAGGAUGUUGGGGAGGUGAAUGGUGUUUCUGGGCUGGCUCAAAUGGAGGACGAAGGAGCAGGUGCAGACCGACAAGAAGGUGACCAGCGUUUUCGUGCUGAAUCUCCGACGAGGUCCCCCGGAUGGACUAAAAGACCGAGUGCCAUGCCCAUCGAGGAUGAGCGCUCUCGAGGUUUCAAUCCUCAAAUAUGCAGAGCAGCCUGACAAGAGCGUUGUUAGACCUGAGCUAGGACUCAGUUUUGAUUCGUUGGGCGAGGCAUAUGAUUUCUAUAACCUAUAUUCUUGGGAAUUAGGUUUUGGCAUAAGAUAUGGAAAAAGCAGACUCAACGCCGAGAGGACAAAAAGCAUGCAGGAAAUAGUUUGUGGUUGCUCGGGGAAACCGGAAACCGGAAACAGUCAGUCCUGCAUAUGUGAGUGCCCAGCUCUGAUCAGGCUUCUGCGUGCAUCUAACAACAGCUGGUACAUAACAGAGCAUCGAGCGAGUCACAACCAUUCCAUGUCGCUGACAAUGGGAGAGAAAGUGCACUGGCCUUCUCAUAAACACAUAGAUAUAUACACUAAGCAUUUGAUAAAGCAACUGAGGGAAAACAAUGUUAACCUUGGGAAGGUAUACAGCAUAGUUGGGAGCUUCUUUGGUUCGGUCAAGAAGGUCCCUUUCACGAAGAGGACGCUCAGGAGUAUUUGUGGGAAGAUUAGCCGUGAACAGGCUGAAGACGAUGUCCAGAAGACACUUGAGGCGUUCGCUGACAUCCAGGCCAAUACCAUUGCCAAACUGAUUUUGAAUUUUUUUGAACGGGUCGCCGGCAUCCGAUGGGAGGUUCUCUCGCUGAAUCGGCAAGUAGUGGCACAACCAGAGGGGCGGGGCAUGAUGCGUUCGUGGGAUUGAAUCUUCCUCCUUCACCUCCCUCCCGCGUGGACUCCGCAUCUAGCGCCUGGAGCACGACGCAUCUGCCAGCGUAUGUCGACGACGCUAAUGGAGAGGGCGAGGUCGUCCAGCAAGAUGAGUCUGUCCACCGGACUCUCACCCAUUGAUUUGGGCAGCAUGGUGGGGCAAGAUUCAUGGGAAGAAAAAUUUGGUGAUUAUGAUCCAGCUGCUGCUCCGGAUUUGCCGCGUAGCACUGGUAGUUCUGCCAUCGACGACCGAUCUGGUGUCCUCUUUGGUGGCAACGUGGAAGACUGAAGAUGAGGAGGACAUUAUCAGCAUGCCGCCUAAACGCCGCCGUAUAAUAGACUAGGUCGCGUAGCUAAAUGAGAACUGGUAAGUGAUUUGUGUGCUAGAAGAUGUUGGUUAAUUAGUAUCGUUCACGCGUUCCGUUGUGACGGCCCUGUUUGUAAAAUCUACUUCCUUGUUUCAUUUUCACUGGUUGCAUCCUUGAACCUCAAACACGUGGGGAUCCAUUCUGGGUUAAUUGUCUGGCUUCCUUCA